GAUGAACGCUGGCGGCGUGCCUAAUACAUGCAAGUCGAGCGAACAGAUAAGGAGCUUGCUCCUUUGACGUUAGCGGCGGACGGGUGAGUAACACGUGGGUAACCUACCUAUAAGACUGGGAUAACUUCGGGAAACCGGAGCUAAUACCGGAUAAUAUUUCGAACCGCAUGGUUCGAUAGUGAAAGAUGGUUUUGCUAUCACUUAUAGAUGGACCCGCGCCGUAUUAGCUAGUUGGUAAGGUAACGGCUUACCAAGGCGACGAUACGUAGCCGACCUGAGAGGGUGACCGGCCACACUGGAACUGAGACACGGUCCAGACUCCUACGGGAGGCAGCAGUAGGGAAUCUUCCGCAAUGGGCGAAAGCCUGACGGAGCAACGCCGCGUGAGUGAUGAAGGUCUUCGGAUCGUAAAACUCUGUUAUUCGGGAAGAACACAUGUGUAAGUAACUGUGCACGUCUUGACGGUACCUAAUCAGAAAGCCACGGCUAACUACGUG
Molecule: ribosomal RNA, 497 nt
Filed under: uncultured bacterium
Lineage: Bacteria
Description: partial 16S ribosomal RNA
Rfam family: Bacterial small subunit ribosomal RNA
Source: RNAcentral